CUCACCAGAGCAGCGCACAGCAGGCCCCCGCGGAGGAUCAACGCAGUGGCUGAACACCGGGAAGGAACUGGCACUUUAAGUCUGGACAUCUGAAACUUGUUGCAGGUGUUGUGUCUUGGAUCCAUCACAGUCAGCUAACACUGGCAGCUCAGGACAAGUGGACCAGCCAGCAGGAUGCAGAUCACCCAACCUGGCUGAUCCUGAGACGAGACCAAGCUGCUGCUGAGGACGACAGCCCUGCUCUGGUCACUCCGGAGGCUGACCAGUCUACGCACGGCCGAAGCUUGAGGACUCAUCGAGCAAGUAAAUGUAGUUAAAAAUCUUAAGACUAAUAGUUUUCCUGUAAUACUAACUGUUUUCCUAUUGUUCGGUCGCUGUAUUCAACCUUUUUCCCAGGUAAGGACCUCUUUUGUCCUUGCUGGAUACGAAUAUGCUGUACAUUGUUUUGUUGUUGUUAACCCCCAUAACCAUGUUAGAAGAAACACCUAUAUAAGGUGUCCCCACUGUACACAUACUACUUAGGAAACCCAGACCUGUCCAGCCCAGUAACAAUUCUGAGUCUUUCAGUCAUUCUUUAAACAUAUAAACCAGAAGUUACCAGAACCUCCUCCUUUAGCAAAAACAGAAAAAACCUAUUUGCUCAGCUGGCUGAAAACAUUGCUAGCUGCCUAGAUGUUUCUUCAUGUUAUGUUUAUAAAAAGGCUAACAUAAGAGACCAAUGGCCUUGAGAAGCAAAAGAGUUAAUGCCUCAAGAUAACUUUAACUAGCUCUUUCCCCAAACAGAUGCCACAAGUUCAAGCAUCUGGCUCUUAAAACUUCUAUUAUUAAAAAAUACCAUGUUACUCACUAGGAAAAAGCUUUUAAGACACAGUAAAAAGAACUAACCUGCUUAAGGCAUGACAAAGUUGGUACAUGUGCAUAUACAGGUUUAACACAGGUCUGAUCCUAGGUGUUCAUUUAGAACAUAGUUUCCAGCUGUAAGAAAAUUUAAAACCCUCAUUGUAAGUGUAUUACUAGUAAUAGGAACUUGCUUGCUGCUCCCCUGUAUAUUAUAUUUGCUCCUUCAAAUGAUAAAAGGUUUUGUAGCUACCAUGGUUCAGCAGAAAACUUCAACACAAGUAUAUUACAUAAAAUACUAUCACUCUGUCUCACAAAAAGACUCAAAAAGUAAAAAUAAAAGAACUCCCACUGAUUAGUGAAAAUUCUCAAAGGGGGAGAUAAGGAAGGAGACCACUACUACUCCUGCUGCCCUCCUCUCCCCACCUUGCCUAGUUCGCAAGACAGGAGGAGAGAAAAACAAAAAGUUGGAAAAAAAACAAAAGUAAGAUAAACAGCCAGACAACCUUGGCACCACCACCCGGCCUUAGGAGUUAAAAAAAGUAAUAAUGAUAACCUCAACCCCUGACCUAAACUACUUGUGUUGUCUGUAAAUUUCAGACACUGUAUGAAAAAAAGCAUUGUAAAACUUUUUGUUCUGUUAGCUGAUGCAUAUAGCCCCCAGUCAUGUUUCCCAUGCUUGCUUGAUGUACCACGACCCUUACACGUGGACCCCUUAAAGUUGUAAACCUUUAAAAAGGCCAAGAAUUUCUUUUUCGGGGAGCUCGGCUCUUAAGACACGAGUCUGACAAUGCUCCUGGCCGAAUAAAAACCUCUUCCUUCUUUAAUUCAGUGUCUGAG
RNAcentral lists this long non-coding RNA (1677 nucleotides) under Homo sapiens (human). RNAcentral describes it as "non-protein coding lnc-SFPQ-1:2". The record is from RNAcentral. Lineage: Eukaryota; Metazoa; Chordata; Mammalia; Primates; Hominidae.